This 77-nucleotide transfer RNA is filed under the name Bacilli bacterium. RNAcentral's name for it is "tRNA-Arg". It matches the Rfam family "tRNA". From Rfam's summary of the family: Transfer RNA (tRNA) molecules are approximately 80 nucleotides in length. Their secondary structure includes four short double-helical elements and three loops (D, anti-codon, and T loops). The record is from RNAcentral. RNAcentral also lists the same sequence under 1 other name. Lineage: Bacteria; Bacillati; Bacillota; Bacilli.
GCGCUUGUAGCUCAGCUGGAUAGAGCACUUCCCUCCUAAGGAAGGGGUCGUACGUUCGAAUCGUAUCAAGCGCGCCA